UGUGUGUUAGUGGAAGCGUCUGGAAAGGCGCGCGAUACAGGGUGACAGCCCCGUACACAAAAAUGCACAUACUGUGAGCUCGAUGAGUAGGGCGGGACACGUGGUAUCCUGUCUGAAUAUGGGGGGACCAUCCUCCAAGGCUAAAUACUCCUGACUGACCGAUAGUGAACCAGUACCGUGAGGGAAAGGCGAAAAGAACCCCGGCGAGGGGAGUGAAAAAGAACCUGAAACCGUGUACGUACAAGCAGUGGGAGCACAGAGCAAUCUGUGUGACUGCGUACCUUUUGUAUAAUGGGUCAGCGACUUAUAUUCUGUAGCAAGGUUAACCGAAUAGGGGAGCCGAAGGGAAACCGAGUCUUAACUGGGCGUUAAGUUGCAGGGUAUAGACCCGAAACCCGGUGAUCUAGCCAUGGGCAGGUUGAAGGUUGGGUAACACUAACUGGAGGACCGAACCGACUAAUGUUGAAAAAUUAGCGGAUGACUUGUGGCUGGGGGUGAAAGGCCAAUCAAACCGGGAGAUAGCUGGUUCUCCCCGAAAGCUAUUUAGGUAGCGCCUCGUGAAUUCAUCUCCGGGGGUAGAGCACUGUUUCGGCAAGGGGGUCAUCCCGACUUACCAACCCGAUGCAAACUGCGAAUACCGGAGAAUGUUAUCACGGGAGACACACGGCGGGUGCUAACGUCCGUCGUGAAGAGGGAAACAACCCAGACCGCCAGCUAAGGUCCCAAAGUCAUGGUUAAGUGGGAAACGAUGUGGGAAGGCCCAGACAGCCAGGAUGUUGGCUUAGAAGCAGCCAUCAUUUAAAGAAAGCGUAAUAGCUCACUGGUCGAGUCGGCCUGCGCGGAAGAUGUAACGGGGCUAAACCAUGCACCGAAGCUGCGGCAGCGACGCUGAUGCGUUGUUGGGUA
Molecule: ribosomal RNA, 906 nt
Filed under: Escherichia coli
Lineage: Bacteria; Pseudomonadati; Pseudomonadota; Gammaproteobacteria; Enterobacterales; Enterobacteriaceae
Description: partial 23S ribosomal RNA
Rfam family: Bacterial large subunit ribosomal RNA
Source: RNAcentral